AGCGAAUCGAUGGGAGCUUGCUCCCUGAGAUUAGCGGCGGACGGGUGAGUAACACGUGGGCAACCUGCCUAUAAGACUGGGAUAACUUCGGGAAACCGGAGCUAAUACCGGAUACGUUCUUUUCUCGCAUGAGAGAAGAUGGAAAGACGGUUUACGCUGUCACUUAUAGAUGGGCCCGCGGCGCAUUAGCUAGUUGGUGAGGUAAUGGCUCACCAAGGCGACGAUGCGUAGCCGACCUGAGAGGGUGAUCGGCCACACUGGGACUGAGACACGGCCCAGACUCCUACGGGAGGCAGCAGUAGGGAAUCUUCCGCAAUGGACGAAAGUCUGACGGAGCAACGCCGCGUGAACGAAGAAGGCCUUCGGGUCGUAAAGUUCUGUUGUUAGGGAAGAACAAGUACCAGAGUAACUGCUGGUACCUUGACGGUACCUAACCAGAAAGCCACGGCUAACUACGUGCCAGCAGCCGCGGUAAUACGUAGGUGGCAAGCGUUGUCCGGAAUUAUUGGGCGUAAAGCGCGCGCAGGUGGUUCCUUAAGUCUGAUGUGAAAGCCCACGGCUCAACCGUGGAGGGUCAUUGGAAACUGGGGAACUUGAGUGCAGAAGAGGAAAGUGGAAUUCCAAGUGUAGCGGUGAAAUGCGUAGAGA
This 648-nucleotide ribosomal RNA is filed under the name Bacillus sp. FJAT-4518. RNAcentral describes it as "bacterial SSU rRNA". It matches the Rfam family "Bacterial small subunit ribosomal RNA", at positions 65 to 696 of the family's 1533-position model. The record is from RNAcentral. Lineage: Bacteria; Bacillati; Bacillota; Bacilli; Caryophanales; Bacillaceae.